Molecule: long non-coding RNA, 749 nt
Filed under: Numida meleagris (helmeted guineafowl)
Lineage: Eukaryota; Metazoa; Chordata; Aves; Galliformes; Numididae
Description: lncRNA (ENSNMEG00000013514.1)
Source: RNAcentral
AGCCACAGUGACAUUACUAGAGAUUAUCUUCUCAUAUCUUGACGAUUUUCCCACCCCAGCAAACGAGAUGAUCUCCACCUGUGUUUAUCUUUAAUCUUAUCCCAUUGCCUCUGCUUCCUUACGUGAUUUCAUAAAGAGUCCCUUAUGCUUCUUGUGGAGAAAUUCAGAAAAGCACGGAAAGAUCCUUGUGAUGAGAAAGUGUGCUCCCAGAGGUACAUAGCAGCUUGCAUGAAAACUACCGUUUCACUGCCAUGGAAAUGAGAAAUCGUGAGAGUUAAUGGAAUGAUGAAUCCCCAUUGCUUGAAGACUUUCAAUCAGAGCUGGCUGCCUCAGAGAGUUACUGUUUUCUGUGCAGGAGGAACCGGAGGAGCCAACUUUCCAGAUCUCCUGAAGGUCUCAUGGAGGGGUUGAAUGUCUUUGGGAAUGCUGUUGGACCGGCACUGGUUUCUUUAGAGUUCAUUUGGUGUUAAGUUCACAGAUGCCUAAUUAACAGGAGUCUUAGCAGAGGUCCAGUGUGCCGUACCACUGCCUGCUAUUCGUGUAUCAAAACCACUCGGGUCUCUUUUGCUAUUGCAAAAGGAAACGUUCAGCCCUGCUCCUGUUCGGACGAUCUAUUGGCUCUGUGUCAGAAAAUACAACGGCACGGAUCUGAGAGCAUUAGUUAAAGACGUGAAGAAUCACAUCCUACAUUGUAAACGUAAAUUUGUGUGAAUUAUAUUUUAAGUACGCUCGGGAAAUUUACAUAUAGA